AGUGAACGCUGGCGGUAGGCCUAACACAUGCAAGUCGAACGGCAGCACAGUAAGAGCUGGCUCUUACGGGUGGCGAGUGGCGGACGGGUGAGGAAUACAUCGGAAUCUACUUUUUCGUGGGGGAUAACGUAGGGAAACGUACGCUAAUACCGCAGACGACCUACGGGUGAAAGCAGGGGAUCUUCGGACCUUGCUCGAUUGAAUUAGCCGACGUCGGAUUAGCUAGUUGGCGGGGGAAAGGCCCACCAAGGCGACGAUCCGUAGCUGGUCUGAGAGGAUGAUCAGCCACCCUGGAGCUGAGACACGGUCCACACUCCUACGGGAGGCAGCAGUGGGGAAUAUUGGACAAUGGGCGCAAGCCUGAUCCAGCCAUACCGCGUGGGUGAAGAAGGCCUUCGGGUUGUAAAGCCCUUUUGUUGGGAAAGAAAAGCAGCAGGUUAAUACCCCGCUGUUCUGACGGUACCCAAAGAAUAAGCACCGGCUAACUUCGUG
This 492-nucleotide ribosomal RNA is filed under the name uncultured bacterium. RNAcentral's name for it is "partial 16S ribosomal RNA". It matches the Rfam family "Bacterial small subunit ribosomal RNA", at positions 29 to 507 of the family's 1533-position model. The record is from RNAcentral.